Molecule: non-coding RNA, 1528 nt
Organism: Punica granatum (pomegranate)
Lineage: Eukaryota; Viridiplantae; Streptophyta; Magnoliopsida; Myrtales; Lythraceae
Source: RefSeq, a predicted model, not a curated record
AUAACAGAGUCCGUACAUCUUUCACGUUUGUUAAAUCUUAUACAAACUUCCAAUGUUGAUAUAAAUACAUGCAUGCUGCCGAUUCAGCUUUUAAACCCACAUGCCGAACGAUCGAUUGGGUUGCAGUAAGCGACGAGCUACUGAACGGUUGAUGGGCGACGAUGACACUCUUAUAUGCCAUGGAGACAAAAUCCGAAGCUGUGCACGCCAUGGAAGUGAUCCAACAAGUUAGGUGAAGCUUCAUUUGGUAUGAAGAUGGUGAAAGUGGCGAUGCAGUCGAUGCUCAAUUCAAUCUUUAUUCCAUUUAAUCAUUUUUCCCUGCUCUCUUUAUGUCUUGAGGCUGCUUUUCUUUUGGACAAUGCUUUUCCUUGCUUUUGUGAAAAAUAUAAUGCUUUGGAUAAUUAAUUUAUUUCUGGACGAGCUUUGGGCCAAUCGCGACCCUGACAAGCGAGUCCAGCAGGCUUGACCUGAGUCCUAGACGAGGUGGUUUAGGCACAUUAUCAAUAGUGGUUACUAGCGGUGACAUCUAUGGAUCUUGACCUGGGCCGGCGGCAGUCACAUCUACCGCUGCAGUAUCAGCGCUUGGUACGCUGGCGCAGUCAUUUCAUCUGUAGUUUUGCCCAGGCUUAUUUUAAUACGAUUACAAUUAAAUUACCUGAAUUCCAGACGAAUAAUUGCUCCUACCCCCAGGAAACCGGGGGAAACAAAGGAGGGGAAACAAAAGUUGGCCUAUAAAAGACUUUAUUAAGUUUGUUGACCGCUGAUGGGUAAGCAAAAGGCAUGAUCUCUUUAUACCAAAAAAGUCAUGUUUUGCACCAUAAGCAAUUUACCCUAAGAAACCUUUUGGCACAUUUAUUUUUUGGGUUUAGUGAAUUGUACAGUUGAUGGGUCAGCAAUCAACAUGUAAUACGCCGUACUUGCAAGUGCCAUGAUGUGGAUAAUUGAAGGACCAAAUUAGAAGAAAAGGAAGUUCAGUGGACAAAGUGAAACAAAAAGCUUUUAGAGGGGCCAAAUGGAGGAGACUGGAAAGUUGAAGAUGGCAAGUUGACGCCAUUUCUUAAAAGGCUUCUGCUUAGUUUGGAAACGGCAAGAAUGAAAUGGAAAGACCGUGCAUUUGGACAAUUUCUCGAUGAUUUCCUUGUGCAUUUGAGACAGUAAAUGAAUAGCAGCUCAUCUCAUUCCUUCUGUUACGGUCUACAGAAGUAGGGCGACAGAGAGAGAGAGAAUUAGACUACAAAAAAUUUCGAGGAUGUUUAUGGGUGUUGAUGUUGGUAUAUCAAAUUCAAAAAGCCUCGACAAUGAGGUCGAAUUGUACCCUUGGUAUUUUGCUAAUUUUGACUUUGGGGACUUCCUAAGACUACAAAAAUUACAUUGAAUUAUAUGUUGGAGCAUAGCGGCUUAGGUGGACUUUUUGGCUUGUAAAAUUGAUUUGGGGAUAUCAACGUUGAGCUAUUGUUUGAGAAUUUGGGCAUAAGUGUAUAUAUUGAAUUAGAUUUGAGACAAUAAGUUGAAAGGUUGAAAUUCUAGA